GAAAUUUUUUACCGUCGCAUUCCGCCCUUUACCUUCUCAAUCCCUAAGCAUUUCUGUCCAACCUACGAUCUCUUCACCUAUUUCGCAUUUUUCUUUUUUGAUCUCUUCUCGAUUUCUAAGCAUUCCCCCCCUCUGCCACAACCUCGCUACCACCAGAAUCCCCCUGACUUCCCCGACGAGCUCUUCUUCAUCCUGUAAGAGAAAGGCGGAAUGAAUCUGUGCCUCUUUUGUUGUCAUAAUUUUUUUAUAAGUGAACGAGGAAGAGGAUGCGAAGGGCUUAGGUCAUCGAUCAGGGAUUCCAUUCUGGUCGUCGUCUCCUCUUCGCUAUUCCCUUUGAAGCGAUCUGGAGACAUUAGAUAGGGACGAGCAAGAUCUGUCUCACUUCUAAGUGUGUCGUCGAGGGGAGCACGAGCAGGGUCAGGCAGUGGAGCUUGAGGGAACUUUGCAUUUCAUCCUGAAAUUGUAAACUUCCUACAUAUUUGAUACUUGCUAGUGUACCUCGAAGCUUGUAGGAGGAAGCAUCAGGGAGUACCUCUUGGCUUUGGUGUCGUCGUAGCGACAAUGGAGCUUAAGAAUGCAGGAAGUCGAGCGGAAGACGCAGCUGGCGAGAAGGACGACACGGGAAGGGAGCCGACGGGCUUAGUGCGUCCGAGGGAUGAAAAAGCUGUAGAAGAGUACACUAGUGGGUGAGAAGAACAUACGUGAUGUUUGAGGGAUGUGUAACGUGUUGGAACCCCAAGGUGUUUUGAUGUGGUCAAA
Molecule: long non-coding RNA, 759 nt
Organism: Zingiber officinale
Lineage: Eukaryota; Viridiplantae; Streptophyta; Magnoliopsida; Zingiberales; Zingiberaceae
Exons: 2
Source: RefSeq, a predicted model, not a curated record